ACGCACGCUGGCGGCGUGCUUAACACAUGCCAGUCGAACGGAAAGGCCCUGCUUUUGUGGGGAGCUCGAGUGGCGAACGGGUGAGUAACACGUGAGUAACCUGCCCUUGACUUUGGGAUAACUUCAGGAAACUGGGGCUAAUACCGGAUAGGAGCUCCUGCUGCAUGGCGGGGGUUGGAAAGUUUCGGCGGUUGGGGAUGGACUCGCGGCUUAUCAGCUUGUUGGUGGGGUAGUGGCUUACCAAGGCUUUGACGGGUAGCCGGCCUGAGAGGGUGACCGGCCACAUUGGGACUGAGAUACGGCCCAGACUCCUACGGGAGGCAGCAGUGGGGAAUAUUGCACAAUGGGCGGAAGCCUGAUGCAGCAACGCCGCGUGCGGGAUGACGGCCUUCGGGUUGUAAACCGCUUUCGCCUGUGACGAAGCGUGAGUGACGGUAAUGGGUAAAGAAGCACCGGCUAACUACGUG
Molecule: ribosomal RNA, 467 nt
Filed under: uncultured bacterium
Lineage: Bacteria
Description: partial 16S ribosomal RNA
Rfam family: Bacterial small subunit ribosomal RNA
Source: RNAcentral